ACGUGGGUAACCUACCCUCCAGCGGGGAUAACGUCUCGAAAGGGGCGCUAAUACCGCAUAAGACCACAGAGUCUCCGGAUUCAGGGGUCAAAGGGGGUCGUCUUCGGGCGGCACUCACUGGAGGACGGGCCCGCGGAUUAGCUUGUUGGGGGGGUAACGGCCCACCAAGGCUACGAUGGGUAGCUGGUUUGAGAGAAUGAUCAGCCACACUGGAACUGAGACACGGUCCAGACUCCUACGGGAGGCAGCAGUGGGGAAUUUUGCGCAAUGGGGGAAACCCUGACGCAGCGACGCCGCGUGGGUGAGGAAGGCCUUCGGGUCGUAAAGCCCUGUCAGAGGGAAAGAACAGUUUGGAGUGAAAGCUUCAGAUUUGACGGUACCCUCAAAGGAAGCACUGGCUAACUCCGUGCCAGCAGCCGCGGUAAUACGGGGAGUGCAAGCGUUGUUCGGAAUUAUUGGGCGUAAAGCGCACGUAGGCGGUUACCAAGUCUGGAGUGAAAUCCCUCGGCCCAACCGAGGACGUGCUUCGGAAACUGCGUUGACUUGAAUCCUGGAGGGGCAGGUGGAAUUCCCAGUGUAGAGGUGAAAUUCGUAGAUAUUGGGAGGAACAUCGGUGGCGAAGGGGCCUGCUGGACAGUGAUUGACGCUGAGGUGCGAAAGGUGGGGAGCAAACAGGAUUAGAUACCCUGGUAGUCCACGCCGUAAACGAUGUCAACUAGCCGUAGAGUCCUUGAGGCUUUUGUGGCGCAGUAACGCACUAAGUUGACCGCCUGGGGAGUACGGCCGCAAGUUAAAACUCAAAUGAAUUGACGGGGGCCCGCACAAGCGUGGAGCAUGUGGUUUAAUUCGAUGCAAC
This 856-nucleotide ribosomal RNA is filed under the name uncultured bacterium. RNAcentral's name for it is "bacterial SSU rRNA". It matches the Rfam family "Bacterial small subunit ribosomal RNA", at positions 115 to 960 of the family's 1533-position model. The record is from RNAcentral.